GGCGAACGCUGGCGGCGUGCUUAACACAUGCAAGUCGAACGCGGAUCCUCGUGCUUGCACGGGGUGAAGAGUGGCGAACGGGUGAGUAACACGUGAGUAACCUGCCCUUCACUCUGGGAUAACCUCGGGAAAUCGGGGCUAAUACCGGAUAUGAGAGUCCACCGCAUGGUGGGUUCUGGAAAGUUUUUCGGUGGAGGGGUGGACUCGCGGCCUAUCAGUUUGUUGGUGAGGUAACGGCUCACCAAGACGAUGACGGGUAGCCGGCCUGAGAGGGCGACCGGCCACACUGGGACUGAGACACGGCCCAG
RNAcentral lists this ribosomal RNA (308 nucleotides) under uncultured bacterium. Its description in RNAcentral is "bacterial SSU rRNA". It matches the Rfam family "Bacterial small subunit ribosomal RNA", at positions 28 to 334 of the family's 1533-position model. The record is from RNAcentral.